Neogale vison (American mink) is the source of this 107-nucleotide small nuclear RNA. Lineage: Eukaryota; Metazoa; Chordata; Mammalia; Carnivora; Mustelidae. The record is from Ensembl.
GUGCUCACUUCAGAAGCAAAUGUACUAAAAUUGGAAAAACCCAGAGAAGAUUAGCAAGGUCCUUGCACAAGGAUGACAUAUAAAUUCAUGAAGCAUUCUAUAUUUUU